GUGGGGAAUAUUGGACAAUGGGCGCAAGCCUGAUCCAGCCAUGCCGCGUGAGUGAUGAAGGCCUUAGGGUUGUAAAGCUCUUUCAGUGGGGACGAUAAUGACGGUACCCACAGAAGAAGCCCCGGCUAACUUCGUGCCAGCAGUCGCGGUAAUACGAAGGGGGCUAGCGUUGUUCGGAUUUACUGGGCGUAAAGCGCACGUAGGCGGAUCGUUAAGUCGGGGGUGAAAUCCUGGAGCUCAACUCCAGAACUGCCUUCGAUACUGGCGAUCUUGAGUGCGGAAGAGGUGAGUGGAACUCCGAGUGUAGAGGUGAAAUUCGUAGAUAGUCGGAGGAACACCAGUGGCGAAGGCGGCUCACUGGCUCGAUACUGACGCUGAGGUGCGAAAGCGUGGGGAGCAAACAGGAUUAGAAACCCUUGUAGC
RNAcentral lists this ribosomal RNA (423 nucleotides) under uncultured bacterium. RNAcentral's name for it is "partial 16S ribosomal RNA". It matches the Rfam family "Bacterial small subunit ribosomal RNA", at positions 354 to 794 of the family's 1533-position model. The record is from RNAcentral.